Molecule: ribosomal RNA, 639 nt
Filed under: Tumulitermes pastinator
Lineage: Eukaryota; Metazoa; Arthropoda; Insecta; Blattodea; Termitidae
Description: partial 16S ribosomal RNA
Rfam family: Archaeal large subunit ribosomal RNA (bases 245-502)
Source: RNAcentral
UUUAUUUUUAUUUGAUGUUAAGAUUGAGGGGGAUUAGCUCCUUUUUUUACUUUUAUAAUUGGUUUGUGUUUAAUUUAGUUUUGUGGAUUUUAUGGUGAUUUUCUAUUUGAUUAUGUUAAAAUUUUAUUUGUUGUUUUUUUUGAUUUUUUUGUUAUUUAAGUUGUUUAUUGAAAUGUUUUCUUUACUUUUGGUUUGUAUAGUAAUUAUUGUGUAAUUAGUAAAUUUUAUUGGUUGUUUUGUUAGAUGAUGAGUGUUAAUUGCUUUUGAGGAAUUCGGCAAAGUUUUAUGUCCGCCUGUUUAACAAAAACAUCUUUUCUUGUUAGUUUUUGAAGUAUGGCCUGCCCACUGACGUUGGAGUUGAAGGGCCGCGGUAUUUUGACCGUGCAAAGGUACCAUAAUCAUUAGUUCUUUAAUUGUGAUCUGGUAUGAAUGGCUUGACGAGACAUAAGCUGUCUUAGAGGCAUUGGUUUAUUGAAUUUGGUUUUUGAGUUAAAAUUCUUAAAUGUUUUUAUGGGACGAGAAGACCCUAUAGAGUUUGACAGUUUUCUUAUUUUAUUUUUGUUUGUUUUGUUGUAUUGAGUGGGGAUUAUUGUUUUGUUGGGGUGAUGGGAGGAAAUUAAAGUAACUCCUCUUUGUUUU